RNAcentral lists this ribosomal RNA (774 nucleotides) under uncultured bacterium. RNAcentral describes it as "bacterial SSU rRNA". It matches the Rfam family "Bacterial small subunit ribosomal RNA", at positions 8 to 796 of the family's 1533-position model. The record is from RNAcentral.
AGAGUUUGAUCCUGGCUCAGGAUGAACGCUGGCGGCGUGCUUAACACAUGCAAGUCGAACGAUGAUGCCAGCUUGCUGGUGGAUUAGUGGCGAACGGGUGAGUAACACGUGAGUAACCUGCCCUUAACUCUGGGAUAAGCCUGGGAAACUGGGUCUAAUACUGGAUACGACCUUCCCACGCAUGUGGUGUUGGUGGAAAGCUUUUGUGGUUUUGGAUGGACUCGCGGCCUAUCAGCUUGUUGGUGGGGUAAUGGCCUACCAAGGCGACGACGGGUAGCCGGCCUGAGAGGGUGGACGGCCACACUGGGACUGAGACACGGCCCAGACUCCUACGGGAGGCAGCAGUGGGGAAUAUUGCACAAUGGGCGCAAGCCUGAUGCAGCGACGCCGCGUGAGGGAUGAAGGCCUUCGGGUUGUAAACCUCUUUCAGUAGGGAAGAAGCGAAAGUGACGGUACCUGCAGAAGAAGCGCCGGCUAACUACGUGCCAGCAGCCGCGGUAAUACGUAGGGCGCAAGCGUUAUCCGGAAUUAUUGGGCGUAAAGAGCUCGUAGGCGGUUUGUCGCGUCUGCCGUGAAAGUCCGGGGCUUAACUCCGGAUCUGCGGUGGGUACGGGCAGACUUGAGUGAUGUAGGGGAGACUGGAAUUCCUGGUGUAGCGGUGAAAUGCGCAGAUAUCAGGAGGAACACCGAUGGCGAAGGCAGGUCUCUGGGCAUUAACUGACGCUGAGGAGCGAAAGCAUGGGGAGCAAACAGGAUUAGAUACCCCGGUAGUCC